GACGAGCCUCACAAACGUUAUUCGGAAUUACUGGGCUUAAAGGGUGCGUAGGCGGCGCGGAAAGUUGGGUGUGAAAUCCCUCGGCUCAACCGAGGAAUUGCGCUCAAAACUACCGUGCUCGAGGGAGAUAGAGGAAUGCGGAACUUAGGGUGGAGCGGUGAAAUGCGUUGAUAUCCUAGGGAACACCGGUGGCGAAAGCGGCAUUCUGGAUCUCAUCUGACGCUGAUGCACGAAAGCUAGGGUAGCAAACGGG
Molecule: ribosomal RNA, 253 nt
Filed under: uncultured bacterium
Lineage: Bacteria
Description: partial 16S ribosomal RNA
Rfam family: Bacterial small subunit ribosomal RNA
Source: RNAcentral